AUGAGGAAAUAAAUUCCAAAACUAGAGCUGGAUAAACUAGUUCUUGUUUAUGCACAAAUUCCAUCCAACCUAGACCAUCAAGGUAGGCAACUACAUUAUCAAAUAAACUAACUGAUUGGAGGGCAUCUGCAAAAAUGUACCUAGUGGGUUGCACUUUCCUGUCCUUGAGUCUCUUAAAGGUUGCCUUAUGAGUUGCAUCAGAAAGGGGCCAAGGUAGUUUAGAUACCUGUGCUGCUGCUGAAAUUUGCUUUUUG
This 254-nucleotide unclassified non-coding RNA is filed under the name Hevea brasiliensis (rubber tree). Lineage: Eukaryota; Viridiplantae; Streptophyta; Magnoliopsida; Malpighiales; Euphorbiaceae. The record is from RNAcentral.